Molecule: non-coding RNA, 109 nt
Organism: Acanthosepion pharaonis
Lineage: Eukaryota; Metazoa; Mollusca; Cephalopoda; Sepiida; Sepiidae
Source: the annotation of a GenBank genome assembly
UCAAAUCGUGCUGGAAUUACAGGUUCUCAUUCGAUCAUCGAAGUUAAGCAGUGUUGAGCCAAGUCUGUACUUAGAUGGGGGACUGCCUGGAAACACCAAGUACUGUAAG